Molecule: unclassified non-coding RNA, 337 nt
Filed under: soil metagenome
Description: partial contains small subunit ribosomal RNA, internal transcribed spacer 1, and 5.8S ribosomal RNA
Source: RNAcentral
UUUCCGUAGGUGAACCUGCGGAAGGAUCAUUGUCGUACCCUGGAAACAGAACGACCCGAGAACGAUGAAACACCACUCUCGGUGGGCCGGUCUCUUAGCCGAUUCCGUGCCUGCCGAUUUCCGUGGUUAUGUGUUCCGUCCCCGGUUCAAGACUUACUUAGGUCUCGGUCGGAUCGUGCGCAUAGCUUCCGGAUUUCACCAAACCCCGGCACGAAAAGUGUCAAGGAACAUGCAACUAAACAGUCUGCUUUCGCCAACCCGGAGACGGUGUUUGUUCGGAAGUAGUGCUGCAAUGUAAAGUCUAAAACGACUCUCGGCAACGGAUAUCUCGGCUCUC